GAUGAAGAACGCAGCGAAAUGCGAUAAGUAAUGUGAAUUGCAGAAUUCAGUGAAUCAUAGAAUCUUUGAACGCACAUUGCGCCCGCCAGUAUUCUGGCGGGCAUGCCUGUUCGAGCGUCAUUUCAACCAUCAAGCCCCCGGGCUUGUGUUGGGGACCUGCGGCUGCCCGCAGGCCCUGAAAACCAGUGGCGGGCUCGCUGUCACACCGAGCGUAGUAGCAAUCACCUCGCUCAGGGCGUGCUGCGGGUUCCGGCCGUUAAACAGCCUUACAAAACCCAAGGUUGACCUCGGAUCAGGUAGGAAGACCCGCUGAACUUAAGCAUAUCAAUAAGCGGAGGA
Molecule: unclassified non-coding RNA, 339 nt
Filed under: soil metagenome
Description: partial contains 5.8S ribosomal RNA, internal transcribed spacer 2, and large subunit ribosomal RNA
Rfam family: 5.8S ribosomal RNA (bases 1-120)
Source: RNAcentral